Molecule: ribosomal RNA, 321 nt
Filed under: Triticum aestivum (bread wheat)
Lineage: Eukaryota; Viridiplantae; Streptophyta; Magnoliopsida; Poales; Poaceae
Description: partial small subunit ribosomal RNA
Source: RNAcentral
AUGGAGGGAGUACAUGGUAUCAGACUAUGUUUAGCCAACAUGUCUUCUACCGCUGCCGCUGCACCGCCGCCGGCACAGGAGCCCCCCUCUACUCCUUCCACCUCUGGAGAGAUCUUCUCUCCGACCCUUGCCGCACUCCUCACCAGCACCAACGGCGUGAACAAUGCCCUUGUCAUCAGCACCAUGGCUGGCACAUCCAGCGUCGGCAAUACCUUCGGCUCUUUCAUGGCCGGGGUGAUGCCCCCUGCAUCUACUCCACCGCCUAUCGUCGCUGCUCGGCUCGAUCCCGUUUGCCCACCUAUGCAUCAGACUGCAUGUUAG